CACAAAUUUCUCUGUUCUCUCUCUUUUACAAUUCUUCAUCACCUUCCUGGUUUUAUCAAGAUUUGAUCAAAUUCAAAGAUCCGUAAACAUAAGUUGCAGGUAUGUUAAUCCGAUUCGAUGCUCUCUUUGUUUCCACCGUUUUCCAGAAGCAUCAUCAUGUUGGUCUAUCAAGAUUUGAUUACUGGUGAUGAGCUUCUUUCAGACUCCUUCCCCUACAAGAACUCUUGAAUGGGAUCCUAUGUGAAGUUGAAGGAAAGAUCUGAUUCCAGUGAUUAAUAUCCGCUUGAGUAACCCAAUCUGAGUCUGAUUUUUUUCGUUAACGAUUCAGGUUUUUAUUUUGGAUGCCCCGGAGUUUUGGUUGCAACUAUGUUGGACAGAGGUAUGGUUGUUGUGGUUGGAAAUUGGUACCAUGUCCGUUGGUUUUGCUUGGCAAGUUUAAGUUCACAGCGGAAAGGGGAAGAAAACGCAUCGUAAUUGAAACCACAAGUUUAUUAACAUGUUACUUACGAACCACGCACUCCAUCCGAUUGCAACGUUCGUCCAAAGCUGUAUCAAGCAACCUGCAAAGCAUGCAGUAGAGUGUCAACAUAACGUUGGCGAGUUCACGUGUUUGCAGUUUUCCAGUUUUAAUUCCAAAAACUUGUUUUAACCAGUUAAUUUACCCGUUUAUACAUGCCAUGGGGAGCUACCCCAUAAGUAAGCGAC
Molecule: long non-coding RNA, 705 nt
Filed under: Helianthus annuus (common sunflower)
Lineage: Eukaryota; Viridiplantae; Streptophyta; Magnoliopsida; Asterales; Asteraceae
Source: RNAcentral